AGCUGUCAGGAAGUGACAGGGCAUUUGCCAAAGUGGUUGACAACCGAUGAGAGCUCAUGCAUUAAGCCCCUUCCACAGCUUUGAGUGCUGUCACCUUGUGGCAGUGUUUCUGGGAACAGCUCUAACUAGAUAAAUUGCCUGAACUGAGACCUCAGAAGGAGUAAACAGACAAGUCCGAGAGACCCUUCUCCACCUCCUCCACCUUCCUGCACCACAGGUGAAGACAGCCACUCUGGCCACCUACACUGCCUCGCUGCCCGUCGUGUAACCAAAGAUUCCACCAAUGGAUCAUACUCCUCUUCCACAGUAUAAAAAUUCUUGCUGAAACCAGAUGUCCAGACGGGAUAUACAAGACCCUGCACCUUUUUAUAUCUAGGUGGUCCAAAUGACUGAGUGCUGGCCAAGGGAAGGUAGGAGCAAUGGAAUUUCCUUGUGGGAGUGGUGCAGACAGUGGCAGAAAGCUCUACUCCUUUCCACAAUUGUAAUUCAGACAUACAGACAUCUAUCUGGCAGACUUGGAUUGGAUGGGAAGCCCAAGAAGGAAUUUACUCUAAGGAGCACUGAAGCCUUCAGAUUUCUGAUGGGCACCAGAGGUCUGGAGGGGAGCGCUGGGCUGAGAGCAGGGCUGAUCCUGAUACUGAAGACUUCCCCAAGCCAGUCACAAGAGAAACUGCUUGUCCUUGAAAAGAAAGAAAGAACAAUAUAU
RNAcentral lists this long non-coding RNA (706 nucleotides) under Equus caballus (horse). RNAcentral's name for it is "lncRNA (ENSECAG00000050496.1)". The record is from RNAcentral. Lineage: Eukaryota; Metazoa; Chordata; Mammalia; Perissodactyla; Equidae.